RNAcentral lists this transfer RNA (58 nucleotides) under Salmo salar (Atlantic salmon). It matches the Rfam family "tRNA", at positions 8 to 63 of the family's 71-position model. From Rfam's summary of the family: Transfer RNA (tRNA) molecules are approximately 80 nucleotides in length. Their secondary structure includes four short double-helical elements and three loops (D, anti-codon, and T loops). Lineage: Eukaryota; Metazoa; Chordata; Actinopteri; Salmoniformes; Salmonidae. The record is from Rfam by way of RNAcentral.
UGGCUCAGUUGAUAGAGCCUGGUGUUUGCAACGCCAGGGUUGUGGGUUCGAUUCCCAC